RNAcentral lists this ribosomal RNA (489 nucleotides) under uncultured bacterium. RNAcentral's name for it is "partial 16S ribosomal RNA". It matches the Rfam family "Bacterial small subunit ribosomal RNA", at positions 30 to 507 of the family's 1533-position model. The record is from RNAcentral.
UUGAACGCUGGCGGCAGGCCUAACACAUGCCAGUCGCACGGUAACAGGAAGAAGCUUGCUUCUUUGCUGACGAGUGGCGGACGGGUGAGUAAUGUCUGGGAAACUGCCUGAUGGAGGGGGAUAACUACUGGAAACGGUAGCUAAUACCGCAUAACGUCGCAAGACCAAAGAGGGGGACCUUCGGGCCUCUUGCCAUCGGAUGUGCCCAGAUGGGAUUAGCUAGUAGGUGGGGUAACGGCUCACCUAGGCGACGAUCCCUAGCUGGUCUGAGAGGAUGACCAGCCACACUGGAACUGAGACACGGUCCAGACUCCGACGGGAGGCAGCAGUGGGGAAUAUUGCACAAUGGGCGCAAGCCUGAUGCAGCCAUGCCGCGUGUAUGAAGAAGGCCUUCGGGUUGUAAAGUACUUUCAGCGGGGAGGAAGGGAGUAAAGUUAAUACCUUUGCUCAUUGACGUUACCCGCAGAAGAAGCACCGGCUAACUCCGUG